Molecule: ribosomal RNA, 398 nt
Filed under: uncultured bacterium
Lineage: Bacteria
Description: partial 16S ribosomal RNA
Rfam family: Bacterial small subunit ribosomal RNA
Source: RNAcentral
AAUAUUGCACAAUGGACGGAAGUCUGAUGCAGCAACGCCGCGUGAGGGAUGAAGGCCCUAGGGUUGUAAAGCUCUUUCACCGGUGAAGAUAAUGACGGUAACCGGAGAAGAAGCCCCGGCUAACUUCGUGCCAGCAGCCGCGGUAAUACGAAGGGGGCUAGCGUUGUUCGGAAUUACUGGGCGUAAAGCGCACGUAGGCGGAUCGGUCAGUUAGGGGUGAAAUCCCGGGGCUCAACCCCGGAACUGCCUUUAAUACUGCCGGUCUAGAGUCCGAGAGAGGUGAGUGGAAUUCCGAGUGUAGAGGUGAAAUUCGUAGAUAUUCGGAGGAACACCAGUGGCGAAGGCGGCUCACUGGCUCGGUACUGACGCUGAGGUGCGAAAGCGUGGGGAGCAAACAG